This 467-nucleotide ribosomal RNA is filed under the name uncultured bacterium. RNAcentral's name for it is "partial 16S ribosomal RNA". It matches the Rfam family "Bacterial small subunit ribosomal RNA", at positions 28 to 507 of the family's 1533-position model. The record is from RNAcentral.
GAUGAACGCUGGCGGCGUGCUUAACACAUGCAAGUCGAACGGAAAGGCCCAAGCUUGCUUGGGUACUCGAGUGGCGAACGGGUGAGUAACACGUGGGUGAUCUGCCCUGCACUUCGGGAUAAGCCUGGGAAACUGGGUCUAAUACUGGAUAGGACCACUUCUUGGAUGUUGUGGUGGAAAGUUUUUUCGGUGUGGGAUGAGCUCGCGGCCUAUCAGCUUGUUGGUGGGGUAUUGGCCUACCAAGGCGUCGACGGGUAGCCGGCCUGAGAGGGUGUACGGCAACAGUGGGACUGAGAUACGGCCCAGACUCCGACGGGAGGCAGCAGUGGGGAAUAUGGCACAAUGGGCGCAAGCCUGAUGCAGCGACGCCGCGUGGGGGAUGACGGCCUUCGGGUUGUAAACUCAUUUCGCUAGGGACGAAGCGUUUUGUGACGGUACCUGGAGAAGAAGCACCGGCUAACUACGUG